AUUGAACGCUGGCGGCAGGCCUAACACAUGCAAGUCGAGCGAGCGGCGGACGGGUGAGACAUGUCUGGGAAACUGCCUGAUGGAGGGGGAUAACUACUGGAAACGGUAGCUAAUACCGCAUACCAUCAGAGGUGCCCAGAUGGGAUUAUCUAGUAGGUGGGGUAACGGCUCACCUAGGCGACGAUCCCUAGCUGGUCUGAGAGGAUGACCAGCGACAGUGGAACGGAGACACGGUCCAGACGCCUGCGGGAGGCAGCAGUGGGGAACAUUGCACAAUGGGCGCAAGUCUUAUGCAGCCAGGCCGCGUGUGUGAAGAAGGCCUUCGGGUUGUAAAGCACUUUCAGCGGGGAGGCGUUACCCGCAGAAGAAGCACCGGCUAACUCCGUGCCAGCAGCCGCGGUAAUUC
RNAcentral lists this ribosomal RNA (406 nucleotides) under uncultured bacterium. RNAcentral describes it as "partial 16S ribosomal RNA". It matches the Rfam family "Bacterial small subunit ribosomal RNA", at positions 29 to 526 of the family's 1533-position model. The record is from RNAcentral.